ACCAAAGUACCGCAAUUGAAUGUUUCAAUGUGUUAGAGAGAGAACGUAUAUUUCGGACACAAUAUGGCGACCGACAAACGUCAAUGUUAAUUGUCAAACGCUCUUUAACGCAUCACCUCGUGGCGUAAGUCCUGUUUUGCAAAGUUGUUUGUGUUUUUUGUAAAGUUGUUUGUGUUUUUUGCAAAGUUGUUUGUGUUUUUUGUAAAGUUGUUUGUGUUUUUUUGUGGUGUUUUAUGACUUUUAUUUUAAAAUGACAAGUUGUUCUGUUCCUUUGUGUAAAAAUAAAAGCCGAUUGUUUCGUCUUCCAACAGGUGUUAGUAAUAGGUCUAGAAGAGAGAUGUGGAAGAAUUUAAUAGGCCGGGACGAUUUGAACGACAACUCCAGAAUUUGCGAAUUACAUUUUUCUGAACAACAAUUCGAAGCAAAGCGAGCAGAUGGAAGGAAACUAUUGCGGCCGAAAUUUUGUUAAUAAACUGGUAUUGCAAGGUU
Zophobas morio is the source of this 489-nucleotide long non-coding RNA. RefSeq lists it as uncharacterized. The transcript has 3 exons. NCBI's taxonomy places the organism in Eukaryota, Metazoa, Arthropoda, Insecta, Coleoptera, Tenebrionidae. The record is from RefSeq and is a predicted model, not a curated record.